GUGCUCACUUCAGCAGCACAUACACUAAAAAACUGGAAUGAUACAGAGAAGAUCAGCAUGGCCCUGUGCAAGGAUGACAUGCAAAUUUGUGAAGCCUUCUAUAUUUUU
Equus asinus (donkey) is the source of this 108-nucleotide small nuclear RNA. Lineage: Eukaryota; Metazoa; Chordata; Mammalia; Perissodactyla; Equidae. The record is from Ensembl.